RNAcentral lists this ribosomal RNA (439 nucleotides) under Salmonella enterica subsp. enterica serovar Infantis. RNAcentral's name for it is "partial 16S ribosomal RNA". It matches the Rfam family "Bacterial small subunit ribosomal RNA", at positions 1 to 436 of the family's 1533-position model. The record is from RNAcentral. Lineage: Bacteria; Pseudomonadati; Pseudomonadota; Gammaproteobacteria; Enterobacterales; Enterobacteriaceae. RNAcentral also lists the same sequence under 3 other names.
AAAUUGAAGAGUUUGAUCAUGGCUCAGAUUGAACGCUGGCGGCAGGCCUAACACAUGCAAGUCGAACGGUAACAGGAAGCAGCUUGCUGCUUCGCUGACGAGUGGCGGACGGGUGAGUAAUGUCUGGGAAACUGCCUGAUGGAGGGGGAUAACUACUGGAAACGGUGGCUAAUACCGCAUAACGUCGCAAGACCAAAGAGGGGGACCUUCGGGCCUCUUGCCAUCAGAUGUGCCCAGAUGGGAUUAGCUUGUUGGUGAGGUAACGGCUCACCAAGGCGACGAUCCCUAGCUGGUCUGAGAGGAUGACCAGCCACACUGGAACUGAGACACGGUCCAGACUCCUACGGGAGGCAGCAGUGGGGAAUAUUGCACAAUGGGCGCAAGCCUGAUGCAGCCAUGCCGCGUGUAUGAAGAAGGCCUUCGGGUUGUAAAGUACUUU